AGAGAUAGAGGCGCGAAUUGCAUCAGUAUCCGGAGUAACGGCACGUUUUCGCCACCGGAAAAAGGGUACUUCGCCGAAAUCCCGACAAAAGGACGUUUUGCGUCGGGGUUGGGCCGCGACAGAAUAUGUCGCGGACUGUCACGUUUUGCGUGGAGGGCUAUCG
This 163-nucleotide non-coding RNA is filed under the name human gut metagenome. RNAcentral describes it as "Lysine riboswitch". It matches the Rfam family "Lysine riboswitch aptamer". From Rfam's summary of the family: Riboswitches are metabolite binding domains within certain messenger RNAs that serve as precision sensors for their corresponding targets. The record is from RNAcentral.